GAGAGCUGGCCGACUGCCCUCCAGGUGAUUUUUAUGCCCACUAAAGUCUGAGCAGCAUUGGCCUAGGACACAGCUGUUUAAAAAAUUCUCCUGCUGAGAUAGACAAGAAAAAUAAAUUUGGAUGAUUUCUGGACUUUAGAUUCCUUAACCUUUAACUCACAUUGGUAAGUUAUUUGAUUUUGAACUUUAAUUGGCAAGAGUAAUCAAUUUUUGGAUUUUAAUUUCUCCUCAUUAAUUUUAAUAAUAAGAGGGGAUUUCUUGCCAGGUGCAGUGGCUCAUGCCUGUAAUCCCAGCAUUUGGGAAGGCUGAGGUAGACGGGACCUGAGCCCAGGAGUUGGAGACCAGCCUGGGCAACAUCACGACAUCCCAUCUCUACAAAAGAUUAAAAUUAGCCAGGCGUGGUGGUAUGUGCCUGCAACUCCAGCUACUCAGGAAGCUGAGGUGUUUGGGAGGAUCACUUGAGCCUGGGAAGGCGAGGCUGCAGUGAUCCGCGAUCGCACCACGGGACUCCAACCUGGGUGACACAGCAAGACUGUCUCAGAAAGAAGGAAGGGGUGGAUUUCUAUUCCAAUUUGGAGCUGUUCUAACUUGUAGCAUUUUAUAUAGGAAUGUCUUCAUAUUGUCAUUUAGUCUCAUCACAAACCUCUGAUAGACCAUACGGUUGCAUAUAAUUAAGAUAGGAAAUAAAAUAAUAGGGGGCGAUUUUCAGUCUUGGGGAUAGUCAUGGAAAUAAUUUAAUG
RNAcentral lists this long non-coding RNA (740 nucleotides) under Homo sapiens (human). RNAcentral's name for it is "HSALNT0296387". Lineage: Eukaryota; Metazoa; Chordata; Mammalia; Primates; Hominidae. The record is from RNAcentral.